UCUCUGUGUAGCCCCAGAUAUCCUGGAACUC
Molecule: non-coding RNA, 31 nt
Filed under: Rattus norvegicus (Norway rat)
Lineage: Eukaryota; Metazoa; Chordata; Mammalia; Rodentia; Muridae
Source: RNAcentral